Molecule: transfer RNA, 65 nt
Filed under: Stenacron interpunctatum
Lineage: Eukaryota; Metazoa; Arthropoda; Insecta; Ephemeroptera; Heptageniidae
Description: tRNA-Thr
Rfam family: tRNA
About the family: Transfer RNA (tRNA) molecules are approximately 80 nucleotides in length. Their secondary structure includes four short double-helical elements and three loops (D, anti-codon, and T loops).
Source: RNAcentral
GUUUUAAUAGUUUAAAGAAAACUUUGGUCUUGUAAACCAAAAUUGAGGUGUAUUCUCUUAAAACU